Molecule: non-coding RNA, 576 nt
Organism: Paramuricea clavata
Lineage: Eukaryota; Metazoa; Cnidaria; Anthozoa; Malacalcyonacea; Plexauridae
Source: the annotation of a GenBank genome assembly
UUAAAACUUUAUUAACACUAAAUUGUAAUUUUAGAACUCUUAUCUCGCAGUAAGUAUUUAAGCGAAGAGACAUAUUAUUGGUUUUUAUUUGUUCAAAUUCUAGGACAAUAUUCAAUAUUCUUUAUACAUAUCGAUAUGCCCUCUUUGGAUAAAACGCGGAUAUGACAUUCGGAAAAAGGCUGAAAAACGUUUUUUGAACCAUAUCCGCGUUUUAUCCUUUUGGAUACCCUUUUGGAUAAAACGCGGAUAUGGCUUAAAAAAGGCUGAAAAACGUUUUUUAAAAGCCAUCCGUCCGUCCGUCCGCCACUCAUCCGUCCGUCCGCCAUCCAUCCGUCCGUCCGUAUCCGCGUUUUAUCCUAACCCCUGCGCGCAGGCUAGCGAAAUCUGGGCUCCUCAAGGUCCGUCUGCUGAUCUGCUUCAUCUCGAAAGAAUUCGACGUCGAGCAACAAAAUUUCUUCUUAAGGAUUAUAAAUUGUCGUACGUUGGUCGCUUGAAAAACUGAAUCUAAUCCCCCUCUCAUACUAGCAUGACAUAUUCCUCUACAAAUGUAAAUACCGGUUGUACGAACAACUCGAC